CCCAGACUCCUACGGGAGGCAGCAGUGGGGAAUAUUGGGCAAUGGGCGCAAGCCUGACCCAGCAAUGCCGCGUGAAGGAAGAAGGCCUUCGGGUUGUAAACUUCUUUUAUCAGGGACGAAGGAUGUGACGGUACCUGAUGAAUAAGCUCCGGCUAACUACGUGCCAGCAGCCGCGGUAAUACGUAGGGAGCAAGCGUUAUCCGGAUUUACUGGGUGUAAAGGGCGCGUAGGCGGGAUGGCAAGUCUGAAGUGAAAGCCCAAGGCUCAACCAUGGGACUGCUUUGGAAACUGUUAAGCUAGAGUGCUGGAGAGGUAAGCGGAAUUCCUAGUGUAGCGGUGAAAUGCGUAGAUAUUAGGAAGAACACCAGUGGCGAAGGCGGCUUACUGGACAGUAACUGACGUUGAGGCUCGAAAGCGUGGGGAGCAAACAGGAUUAGAUACCCCCGUAC
RNAcentral lists this ribosomal RNA (449 nucleotides) under uncultured bacterium. Its description in RNAcentral is "partial 16S ribosomal RNA". It matches the Rfam family "Bacterial small subunit ribosomal RNA", at positions 330 to 793 of the family's 1533-position model. The record is from RNAcentral.